UAGGGAAUAUUGCGCAAUGGACGGAAGUCUGACGCAGCGACGCCGCGUGAGGGAUGAAGGUUUUCGGAUCGUAAACCUCUGUCAGGGGUCAAGAAAGGGCGGGGGAGCAACUGCCUCCGCUUUGACCAGCCCCAAAGGAAGCGCCGGCCAACUCCGUGCCAGCAGCCGCGGUAAUACGGAGGGCGCAAGCGUUAAUCGGAAUCACUGGGCGUAAAGCGCGCGUAGGCGGCCCGGAAAGUCAGGGGUGAAAGCCCGCGGCUCAACCGCGGAAAUGCCUUUGAAACUUCCCGGCUUGAAUACAGGAGAGGACGGCGGAAUUCCAGGUGUAGGAGUGAAAUCCGUAGAUAUCUGGAGGAACACCAGCGGCGAAGGCGGCCGUCUGGCCUGUAAUUGACGCUGAGGGGCGAAAGCGUGGGUAGCAAACAGG
RNAcentral lists this ribosomal RNA (427 nucleotides) under uncultured bacterium. RNAcentral's name for it is "bacterial SSU rRNA". It matches the Rfam family "Bacterial small subunit ribosomal RNA", at positions 355 to 776 of the family's 1533-position model. The record is from RNAcentral.